RNAcentral lists this ribosomal RNA (998 nucleotides) under Halogeometricum sp. enrichment culture clone SVC_G12. Its description in RNAcentral is "bacterial SSU rRNA". It matches the Rfam family "Archaeal small subunit ribosomal RNA", at positions 32 to 1032 of the family's 1478-position model. The record is from RNAcentral. Lineage: Archaea; Methanobacteriati; Methanobacteriota; Halobacteria; Halobacteriales; Haloferacaceae.
AUCGGGUCGAUUUAGCAUGCUAGUUGCGCGAGUUCAGACUCGCAGCAGAUAGCUCAGUAACACGUGGUCAAGCUACCCUGCAGACACGGACAACCUCGGGAAACUGAGGCUAAUCCGCGAUACCGAUCCCACGCUGGAAUGCCGGGAUCCACAAACGCUCCGGCGCUGCAGGAUGCGGCUGCGGCCGAUUAGGUAGACGGUGGGGUAACGGCCCACCGUGCCGAUAAUCGGUACGGGUUGUGAGAGCAAGAGCCCGGAGACGGAAUCUGAGACAAGAUUCCGGGCCCUACGGGGCGCAGCAGGCGCGAAACCUUUACACUGCACGCAAGUGCGAUAAGGGGACUCCGAGUGCGAGGGCAUAUAGUCCUCGCUUUUGAGAACCGUAAGGUGGUUCUCGAAUAAGAGCUGGGCAAGACCGGUGCCAGCCGCCGCGGUAAUACCGGCAGCUCAAGUGAUGGCCAAUCUUAUUGGGCCUAAAGCGUCCGUAGCUGGCCGUGAAAGUUCGUCGGGAAAUCCAUCCGCUCAACGGAUGGGCGUCCGGCGAAAACUUCACGGCUUGGGACCGGAAGGCUCGAGGGGUACGUCCGGGGUAGGAGUGAAAUCCUGUAAUCCUGGACGGACCGCCGAUGGCGAAAGCACCUCGAGAAGACGGAUCCGACAGUGAGGGACGAAAGCUAGGGUCUCGAACCGGAUUAGAUACCCGGGUAGUCCUAGCCGUAAACGAUGUUCACCUAGGUGUGGCACAGGCUACGAGCCUGUGCUGUGCCGUAGGGAAGCCGAGAAGUGAACCGCCUGGGAAGUACGUCCGCAAGGAUGAAACUUAAAGGAAUUGGCGGGGGAGCACUACAACCGGAGGAGCCUGCGGUUUAUUGGACUCAACGCCGGACAUCUCACCAGCUCCGACUACAGUAAUGACGGUCAGGUUGAUGACCUUACCACGAGCUGUAGAGAGGAGGUGCAUGGGCGCCGUCAGCUCGUACCGUGAGGCGUCCUGUUAA